This is a long non-coding RNA of Ornithorhynchus anatinus (platypus), 1110 nucleotides long. RefSeq lists it as uncharacterized. Lineage: Eukaryota; Metazoa; Chordata; Mammalia; Monotremata; Ornithorhynchidae. The transcript is spliced from 2 exons. The record is from RefSeq and is a predicted model, not a curated record.
AGAGGGACGGGGAGAUGAUGAAGACAGGAGAGGCAAAGUACUACCAUCACCACCCUGCCUAUCAUCAGCUCUCUCUCUAUCCCUUUUGCUGAAUGCCACAUAUACGACUGGAUGAAGAUGCCAGAUAAGUGGAAGGAGAAUGUGAUUGGGAGUCAGGAAACCUGGGUUUUUAUUUGGGCUCUGCCACUUGUCAGCAGCAAUUACUUUAACUAGACUUGCCCACUGUGGAACCGAGUGGGACCCCAGCUGAAGCAGAAGGCAGAAGAGCACUUCAGGCAGGUUUCUAGCAAGGCAACAUUCAGAGGGCCUGGACUGGCAGAAAGAACAUGGCCCUGAAUGUCAGAGGACUUGGGUUCUAAUUCCAGUUCUGCCCCUGCCUAUUGUGUGACCUCGGCUCUCCGCUCAUCUUUUCCCAACAUUUCUCCAAGCAAGGAAAGCUGGAGAUGUCGGUCCAGGUCCAGGAAAUAGAAAAGGAUGGAGAGAACUGAACAGAAGAGUUUGGUUCCAACAGGUCCUCGUUUGGCAAAAUUUGGUCCUCGUCAGAUGUGACCAAUGUGGCUGAUACCAGGUCUACCCAGGACCAGGAGAACCCUUAGCCCAAGACUGCCUUUUGUGUUUGUUCCUUCACUGUUGCAGCCUCCAACUGUCUAGGAAACAAGAUAACCUACCCUGCAGUCUGGCACCAGGUCCCCAGUAAUGGUGAAUGCAUGUGGAUAAACUCAGAAAGACAACCCCGGGAGCCUCCUUAACCCCCAGAACCAUGCCUCUGCCUUCUCACCCUUACCUCUAAACCUGUCAACUCACACCUGACAUCCAGAAAAGGACAGAGAGGAUGAGAAGGUCCUUCAGUGCUUCAGGCUACCUGCUUGCCCUCCCUUAAAAACCCCGUGUUUCCAGGAAAAAGGAAAAGCCUUGGUCUGGCAACAGACCAGGUCUGGGUUGCUCCCACAGUUCCGGGAGCCGCAGUUCCAAAGGAUUCCCCGUUUCCUUAGUAGCUGCUCCAGCCGUGUCCACACCCUGCUUUGCUGGAGCUACAGGCAUGAUCCCCAGGGGGAAAAACUUGUGCUGGAGACCCGAAAUCCAACGAAUUAAUAAAAGAUGCAAUGAAGC